RNAcentral lists this ribosomal RNA (395 nucleotides) under uncultured bacterium. RNAcentral's name for it is "bacterial SSU rRNA". It matches the Rfam family "Bacterial small subunit ribosomal RNA", at positions 28 to 417 of the family's 1533-position model. The record is from RNAcentral.
GACGAACGCUGGCGGCGUGCCUAACACAUGCAAGUGGAGCGACGAACCGGACUUCGGUCCGGGGCAAAGCCGCGAACGGGUGAGUAACACGUGGGUAACCUGCCCUGAUGAUUGGGACAACCCGAGGAAACUCGGGCUAAUACCGAAUGUGUCCAUCGGCCUCAAGGCCUUUGGGGAAAGGAAGCUUCGGCCUCCGCAUCGGGAUGGGCCCGCGGCCCAUUAGCUUGUUGGUGGGGUAAUGGCCCACCAAGGCGACGAUGGGUAGCUGGUCUGAGAGGACGAUCAGCCACACUGGGACUGAGACACGGCCCAGACUCCUACGGGAGGCAGCAGUGGGGAAUCUUGCGCAAUGCGCGAAAGCGUGACGCAGCAACGCCGCGUGGGGAAGACGGCCU